AAGUCGUAACAAGGUUUCCGUAGGUGAACCUGCGGAAGGAUCAUUAAAAGAAUCUGCCUCACCCACAGAUAUCUUAUCACGUGUGAACUGUCUAGCUUGUCACCCGAGAUGGACACCUCAGAGAUCUCGGUCUUUGGGGGGUCUGUCUUGGGGGUCAGCUUAUGCUACUGAUUGUGCCCCGAGAAUCUUUAAAAGACUUUAAAACUUUUAGCAAUGGAUCUCUAGGCUCCU
RNAcentral lists this unclassified non-coding RNA (231 nucleotides) under fungal sp. RNAcentral's name for it is "partial internal transcribed spacer region". The stretch from base 1 to 46 matches the Rfam family "Eukaryotic small subunit ribosomal RNA", at positions 1786 to 1831 of the family's 1831-position model. RNAcentral also lists the same sequence under 1 other name. The record is from RNAcentral. Lineage: Eukaryota; Fungi.